AGGGUGAGUCGACCCCUAAGGCGAGGCCGAAAGGCGUAGUCGAUGGGAAACGGGUUAAUAUUCCCGUACUUAUUAUGAAUGCGAAGGGGGGACGGAGCAGGCUAGGCAAGCAUGGCGUUGGUUGUCCAUGUGAAAGUGAGUAGGCUGGUGACUUAGGCAAAUCCGGGUCACUAAGGCUGAGACACGAGACGACACUCUACGGAGUGGAAGUUGAUGAUGCCCUACUUCCAGGAAAAGCCUCUAAGCUUCAGUUCAUAAUGAAUCGUACCCCAAACCGACACAGGUGGUCAGGUAGAGAAUACUAAGGCGCUUGAGAGAACUCGGGUGAAGGAACUAGGCAAAAUUGUACCGUAACUUCGGGAGAAGGUACGCCGGCUAGGGUGAUGGAACUUGCUUCCUAAGCUUUGGUCGGUCGCAGUGACCAGGUGGCUGCAACUGUUUAUUAAAAACACAGCACUGUGCAAAAUCGUAAGAUGACGUAUACGGUGUGACACCUGCCCGGUGCCGGAAGGUUAAUUGAUGGGGUUAGCGUAAGCGAAGCUCUUGAUCGAAGCCCCAGUAAACGGCGGCCGUAACAAUAACGGUCCUAAGGUAGCGAAAUUCCUUGUCGGGUAAGUUCCGACCUGCACGAAUGGCGUAACGAUGGCCACACUGUCUCCUCCCGAGACUCAGCGAAGUUGAAAUGUUUGUGAUGAUGCAAUCUACCCGCGGCUAGACGGAAAGACCCCAUGAACCUUUACUGUAGCUUUGCAUUGGACUUUGAAUCAAUCUGUGUAGGAUAGGUGGGAGGCUUUGAAGUGUGGACGCCAGUCUGCAUGGAGCCGACCUUGAAAUACCACCCUUUAAUGUUUGAUGUUCUAACGUUGACCCGUAAUCCGGGUUGCGGACAGUGUCUGGUGGGUAGUUUGACUGGGGCGGUCUCCUCCCAAAGAGUAACGGAGGAGCACGAAGGUUGGCUAAGUACGGUCGGACAUCGUACGGUUAGUGUAAUGGUAGAAGCCAGCUUAACUGCGAGACAGACACGUCGAGCAGGUACGAAAGUAGGUCAUAGUGAUCCGGUGGUUCUGAAUGGAAGGGCCAUCGCUCAACGGAUAAAAGGUACUCCGGGGAUAACAGGCUGAUACCGCCCAAGAGUUCAUAUCGACGGCGGUGUUUGGCACCUCGAUGUCGGCUCAUCACAUCCUGGGGCUGAAGUCGGUCCCAAGGGUAUGGCUGUUCGCCAUUUAAAGUGGUACGCGAGCUGGGUUUAGAACGUCGUGAGACAGUUCGGUCCCUAUCUGCCGUGGGCGUUGGAAGAUUGAAGGGGGCUGCUCCUAGUACGAGAGGACCGGAGUGGACGAACCUCUGGUGUUCGGGUUGUCAUGCCAAUGGCAUUGCCCGGUAGCUACGUUCGGAAUCGAUAACCGCUGAAAGCAUCUAAGCGGGAAGCGAGCCCUGAGAUGAGUAAUCCCUAGAGCUUUAAGCUCUCUAAAGGGUUGUUGGAGACUAC
Molecule: ribosomal RNA, 1489 nt
Filed under: Stichodactyla helianthus
Lineage: Eukaryota; Metazoa; Cnidaria; Anthozoa; Actiniaria; Stichodactylidae
Description: bacterial LSU rRNA
Rfam family: Bacterial large subunit ribosomal RNA
Source: RNAcentral